RNAcentral lists this ribosomal RNA (565 nucleotides) under Latilactobacillus curvatus. RNAcentral's name for it is "bacterial SSU rRNA". It matches the Rfam family "Bacterial small subunit ribosomal RNA", at positions 67 to 625 of the family's 1533-position model. The record is from RNAcentral. Lineage: Bacteria; Bacillati; Bacillota; Bacilli; Lactobacillales; Lactobacillaceae.
UUGCUUCUGAUUGAUAACAUUUGAGUGAGUGGCGGACGGGUGAGUAACACGUGGGUAACCUGCCCUAAAGUGGGGGAUAACAUUUGGAAACAGAUGCUAAUACCGCAUAAAACCUAGCACCGCAUGGUGAAGGUUGAAAGAUGGUUUCGGCUAUCACUUUAGGAUGGACCCGCGGUGCAUUAGUUAGUUGGUGAGGUAAAGGCUCACCAAGACCGUGAUGCAUAGCCGACCUGAGAGGGUAAUCGGCCACACUGGGACUGAGACACGGCCCAGACUCCUACGGGAGGCAGCAGUAGGGAAUCUUCCACAAUGGACGAAAGUCUGAUGGAGCAACGCCGCGUGAGUGAAGAAGGUUUUCGGAUCGUAAAACUCUGUUGUUGGAGAAGAACGUAUUUGAUAGUAACUGAUCAGGUAGUGACGGUAUCCAACCAGAAAGCCACGGCUAACUACGUGCCAGCAGCCGCGGUAAUACGUAGGUGGCWADGCGUUUGUCCGGGAUUUAUUGYGCGUAAGCGAGCKCWGCGUUUCUUAAUUUGAGUGAAGCUCGGUCAACGAAAAGUSCWCG